Orcinus orca (killer whale) is the source of this 1143-nucleotide long non-coding RNA. RefSeq lists it as uncharacterized. The transcript is spliced from 2 exons. The record is from RefSeq and is a predicted model, not a curated record. NCBI's taxonomy places the organism in Eukaryota, Metazoa, Chordata, Mammalia, Artiodactyla, Delphinidae.
AGAGAAUCACUCCCCUAGUGUAGGAGUGUGUACAAGAAGGGGGGAAAUGAAAUUCACUGCCUAGCUGGUUGGUUACUGCAGUCGCACCCCACCCCCACCCCAGUGCUUCAUGAUGGGAGACAUUCUGGAAGAGUUUAACACGUAUAUCAGGAAAUUGGGUCUUCAGAAAUGAAGGUGGACAAGAAGAGGUGGAACUCCAUCCCAAGACAAUUACACGUAUCAUACAGGCAAAGGCCACCACGUCUGCCUGGUGCCCAGGAGUAGAAAGAAUCAGACGAAGCCAGAAGGAGACUAGAGUCGCCUCCUUACCACCAGCAGGUGACCUAAGAGCACCCUUGCUGCCUCUCCUACUGCCUCUCCCUGCCCUCUAGACCAGAGAUGCCAGGGCCCAGAACAAGGAGGGGUGAAGUGAAAGAGCAGGCUGUACCUCCACCAGCUAGCGCCCAGUUCCUACAUUGUAAGCACUGUAAGGACAUAUUCCUCAUGCCCAGCAUGUGCCUGGCCCAGAGAAGACAUCUGAUACUUGUGUUGAAAAAGGAAUGAGUGAAUGAAAGUAUCCCAAUUCACCUUCUUUCUCAGUCACUCACUGCUUUCCUGGUUUAGGAGUCAUAUUUGUCAGUCAGAGGAGGGUGUUCCCUUGGCUCCGAGACUUGCUUAGGUAACAAUGUGGGAUAACCCAAAGUAUACAUGGUGUGUGUUCUCCGGACAUGUCAGCUUCUGGGCGGGGCUUAGGCUCCCACAGACUCUAGUCCCACCCCUGGCAUUUCAUCCCAGCUCAGGGGGCAGAAGAGGAUAAAUUUCAGCUGUUCUCAGCCCUGCUGCAUCUUUACCAAAGACCUCCGACAGCAGCAUGAAUUUGGGAGGCUUCCUCCUCCUUGUGACCCUAGUUGCCCUCAGCUCAGAGGUACAGGAGCUUCAGGCUGCCAUGAGACCCUUGAAACUUCUGGAUGAAGACAUCCUAAGGGCCAUCCUUCUCUAAUAGUUGUUCAUCCCUUCCUGGAGUUCCUGUCUUCAAAGAUGUGACUAUUUGAAACUCCUUGCCCAGGAAGACAGAUGAAAAUGGGGGCCCGUGGAUGGAGAUGACAAGGGAUGUGGUGGGGAAGGGAAAAUAAUCGUUUCUUUUAAUAAAUCGUCAUAAUUGGG